Long non-coding RNA from Suncus etruscus (white-toothed pygmy shrew), 121 nucleotides. RefSeq lists it as uncharacterized. NCBI's taxonomy places the organism in Eukaryota, Metazoa, Chordata, Mammalia, Eulipotyphla, Soricidae. The transcript has 3 exons. The record is from RefSeq and is a predicted model, not a curated record.
CAUUGUCUCCACCAUCAGAGGAACAAGAUGAAUGUUGCAGCCUUUAUUCAGACAUGGCAGAGAGCAAGAACAAAGCUGAACUGCUUAAUGGUUGUCUGGUGUGUGUGUGUGUGUGUGUGUG